This 278-nucleotide long non-coding RNA is filed under the name Gossypium raimondii (Peruvian cotton). RNAcentral's name for it is "long non-coding RNA (GRAI_LNC004417)". Lineage: Eukaryota; Viridiplantae; Streptophyta; Magnoliopsida; Malvales; Malvaceae. The record is from RNAcentral.
GCAGCAGAUCUUUCAAGCGGAGUACAAGCCAUAGCAUGUCUGAUCAAGAAUCACAAUCAGUUCUUGCCAGAGAUGUAGAAAUCGAAUGAUGUAGAAUAGGAUGUCGAUCAAGAAUCACAAUCAGUUCUUGCCAGAGAUGUAGAAAUCGAAUGGUGUAGGACUAGGAUGUCGAUAUUUGUCCAUAGUUGUCAGAUUUUGGACAUAAAUGCAACGGCCGGCCGCCUUUGUUCAUUCAUUUCGAGUUAAUGUUUCCAAAUGUUUGGUUAACAAGCAAAAGU